This 716-nucleotide ribosomal RNA is filed under the name Pristimera malifolia. RNAcentral describes it as "eukaryotic LSU rRNA". The stretch from base 278 to 433 matches the Rfam family "5.8S ribosomal RNA". The record is from RNAcentral. Lineage: Eukaryota; Viridiplantae; Streptophyta; Magnoliopsida; Celastrales; Celastraceae.
UUUCCGUAGGUGAACCUGCGGAAGGAUCAUUGUCGAAACCUGCGAGACAGAACGACCCGCGAAUCGGUGAACACGCAUUCGGGAGACGGCCCCUUAGACGGGACUUUCUCCCGGAGUCCCUAGCCAAGGCGGCGCUCGAAAUCCGCUCCCUCGGCUACGGGCGAAACAAACGAACCCGGGCGCGAGUCGCGCCAAGGAAAAUGAAGAAGGAAGAUGAGCUCCCCUCGUCCCGGAAACGGUGCGAUGGGGGUCACGUCGUCGUUAUCUCGUACGAAACGACUCUCGGCAACGGAUAUCUCGGCUCUCGCAUCGAUGAAGAACGUAGCGAAAUGCGAUACUUGGUGUGAAUUGCAGAAUCCCGCGAACCAUCGAGUUUUUGAACGCAAGUUGCGCCCAAAGCCGUCAGGCCGAGGGCACGCCUGCCUGGGUGUCACGAAAAGUCGCAAACAUCCCUCCCUCCCUCGCCCCUCGACAGGCAGGGGCAGCGAGGCGAGGGAUGGCGGACGUUGGCCUCCCGUGCACCCCAACGCGCGCGGUUGGCCCAAAAAUCGGGUCCCCGCGAGGCGGCCACGACACACGGUGGUUGAAAGCACGCGCUCUCCUCGAACACCGUCGUGGGCCGGCCUCUUUUAUUUUCACGGGGAGCCAGAGACCCCGACGCCGAGCGUCAUCACGAAGCGACCCCAGGUCAGGCGGGGACACCCGCUGAGUUUAAG